RNAcentral lists this transfer RNA (72 nucleotides) under Spirochaetia bacterium. Its description in RNAcentral is "tRNA-His". It matches the Rfam family "tRNA". Rfam says of the family: Transfer RNA (tRNA) molecules are approximately 80 nucleotides in length. Their secondary structure includes four short double-helical elements and three loops (D, anti-codon, and T loops). Further hydrogen bonds mediate the characteristic L-shaped molecular structure. tRNAs have two regions of fundamental functional importance: the anti-codon, which is responsible for specific mRNA codon recognition, and the 3' end, to which the tRNAs corresponding amino acid is attached (by aminoacyl-tRNA synthetases). tRNAs cope with the degeneracy of the genetic code in two manners: having more than one tRNA (with a specific anti-codon) for a particular amino acid; and 'wobble' base-pairing, i.e. permitting non-standard base-pairing at the 3rd anti-codon position. RNAcentral also lists the same sequence under 1 other name. Lineage: Bacteria; Pseudomonadati; Spirochaetota; Spirochaetia. The record is from RNAcentral.
GUGGGUAUAGUUCAGCGGUAGAGCACCGGAUUGUGGAUCCGGUUGUCGUGGGUUCGAACCCCACUACCCACC